UACAGAGGGGGCAAGCGUUGUUCGGAAUUACUGGGCGUAAAGGGCGCGUAGGCGGCCUCUUAAGUCGAACGUGAAAUCCCCGGGCUCAACCCGGGAACUGCGUCCGAUACUGGGGGGCUUGAAUCCGGGAGAGGGAUGUGGAAUUCCAGGUGUAGCGGUGAAAUGCGUAGAUAUCUGGAGGAACACCGGUGGCGAAGGCGGCAUCCUGGACCGGUAUUGACGCUGAGGCGCGAAAGCUAGGGGAGCAAACGGG
This 253-nucleotide ribosomal RNA is filed under the name uncultured bacterium. RNAcentral describes it as "partial 16S ribosomal RNA". It matches the Rfam family "Bacterial small subunit ribosomal RNA", at positions 524 to 776 of the family's 1533-position model. The record is from RNAcentral.